Molecule: ribosomal RNA, 446 nt
Filed under: uncultured bacterium
Lineage: Bacteria
Description: partial 16S ribosomal RNA
Rfam family: Bacterial small subunit ribosomal RNA
Source: RNAcentral
CCUACGGGAGGCAGCAGUCGAGAAUCAUUCACAAUGGGGGAAACCCUGAUGGUGCGACGCCGCGUGGGGGAAUGAAGGUCUUCGGAUUGUAAACCCCUGUCAUGUGGGAGCAAAUUAAAAAGAUAGUACCACAAGAGGAAGAGACGGCUAACACUGUGCCAGCAGCUGCGGUAAUACAGAGGUCUCAAGCGUUGUUCGGAAUGACGGGGCGUAAAGCGUGCGGAGGCUGUUUCGUAAGUCGGGUGUGAAAGGCGCGGGCUCAACCCUCGGACGGCACAUGAGACUGGGAGAGUAGAGUUAUGGAGGGGGAUCCGGAAUUCGCGGUGUAGCAGUGAAAUGCGUAGAUAUCGAGAGGAACACUCGUGGCGAAGGCGGGUUCCUGGACAUUAACUGACGCUGAGGCACGAAGGCGAGGGUAGCGAAAGGGAUUAGAUACCCGGGUAGUC